This 1314-nucleotide ribosomal RNA is filed under the name Triticum aestivum (bread wheat). Its description in RNAcentral is "partial small subunit ribosomal RNA". The record is from RNAcentral. Lineage: Eukaryota; Viridiplantae; Streptophyta; Magnoliopsida; Poales; Poaceae.
AUGGCGCUGUCCUUCGCCGUGCGCCGGCGCAAGCCGGAGCUCAUCGGCCCGGCCUCGCCGACGCCGCGAGAGACCAAGCGCCUCUCCGACAUCGACGACCAAGGGACGCUGCGGGCGAACAUUCGCUUCUUCUUCUUCUACCGUGGGGAGCAGGAGUCUGGCGACGACCCGGUGGGCGCCAUCCGCCGCGCCCUGCCGGAGGCGCUGGUGCACUACUACCCCUUCGCCGGCCGGCUCCGCGAGGUGGACGGCCGGAAGCUGGUCGUCGACUGCACCGGCGAGGGGGUCACGUUCGUGGAGGCCGACGCCGACGUCCGGUUCGAGGACCUCGAGGCGGCCGCCGGGCCCGGGCUGACGCCGCCGUUCCCAUGCAUGGACGAGCUCGCCUUCGACGCGGACGGCGUCAGCGGCAUACUCGGCUGCCCCUUGGUGCUCAUUCAGGUGACGCGGCUCCUGUGCGGCGGCUUUGUCGUGGGGCAUCGCUUCAACCACGCCAUGUGCGACGCCACGGGCACAGCGAUGUUCAUGAACGCCGUCGCCGAGCUCGCGCGAGGCCUCCCUGCGCCAACCGUCGCGCCGACGUGGUCCCGUGAUCUGCUCGACGCACGAAGCCCUCCGGCGCCCUCGCUGCCGCACCGCGAGUACGACGUCGUGACGCCCCUGCCGCCAUCGCCACCAGCCGACGACAUGGUCCUGCGCUCCUUCCUGUUCGGCCCUUCCGUCGUCGCCGCGAUGAAGAGAUCCCUCCCGCCUGCUCUCCGCGACACCGCCACCAGCUUCGAGGUGCUGGCCGCGUUCUUGUGGCGCGCCCGCACCGCGGCGCUGGCGCUCCGGCCGGACGAGGAGACGCGGCUGGUGACCGUCGUCAACAUGAGGAGGCACGUCGCUCUAGGCCUGCCUGCCGGCUACUACGGCUACGCCUGUGCCAACCCCAUGGCGGUGAUGGCCGCCGGGGCGCUGCUGAGCGGCUCGAUGGGAGAAGCGGUUGAGCUGGUGCAGGCGGUGAAGGCUUCGGUGACGGCCGAGUACGCGCGCUCCAUGGCCGACCACCUCGUGCUGCACGGGCGGCCGGUGUUGGCCACGCCGAACCUGUUCGUUCUCACCGACCUCAGGCACGUAGGCCUCGAUCGUGUGGACUUCGGCUGGGGCGAGCCAGUGUAUGCAGGGGCGGCCAGAUCAGUUCUCUGGGUGAGCUCGUUGGUCACCGUCAAGAACAGCGCCGGGAAGAAUGUGGUGGCGGUGCCGGUCGCGCUGCCGAGGUUGGCAAUGGAGCGGUUCGCGUCCGAGGUCGAGACGUUGACCAAGAAGGUUUAG